RNAcentral lists this ribosomal RNA (435 nucleotides) under uncultured bacterium. RNAcentral's name for it is "bacterial SSU rRNA". It matches the Rfam family "Bacterial small subunit ribosomal RNA", at positions 339 to 791 of the family's 1533-position model. The record is from RNAcentral.
CUACGGGAGGCAGCAGUUGGGAAUCUUGGACAAUGGGCGAAAGCCUGAUCCAGCCAUGCCGCGUGAGUGAUGAAGGCCUUAGGGUUGUAAAGCUCUUUUGCCAGGGACGAUAAUGACUGUACCUGGAGAAUAAGCCCCGGCUAACUUCGUGCCAGCAGCCGCGGUAAUACGAAGGGGGCUAGCGUUGUUCGGAAUUACUGGGCGUAAAGCGUGCGCAGGCGGUUUCUCAAGUCAGGGGUGAAAGCCCGGAGCUCAACUCCGGAAUUGCCUUUGAAACUGUGAAGCUAGAGUGCGGGAGAGGUGAGUGGAAUUCCCAGUGUAGAGGUGAAAUUCGUAGAUAUUGGGAAGAACACCGGUGGCGAAGGCGGCUCACUGGCCCGUUUCUGACGCUCAUGCACGACAGCGUGGGGAUCAAACAGGAUUAGAUACCCCGGU